This 460-nucleotide ribosomal RNA is filed under the name uncultured bacterium. Its description in RNAcentral is "partial 16S ribosomal RNA". It matches the Rfam family "Bacterial small subunit ribosomal RNA", at positions 338 to 795 of the family's 1533-position model. The record is from RNAcentral.
CCUACGGGUGGCAGCAGUGAGGAAUAUUGGUCAAUGGGCGGGAGCCUGAACCAGCCAAGCCGCGUGAGGGAAGACGGUCCUAUGGAUUGUAAACCUCUUUAGUCGGGGAGCAAUGCCGGGCACGCGUGCCCGGAGGGAGGGUACCCGCAGAAUAAGCAUCGGCUAACCCCGUGCCAGCGGCCGCGGUAAUAGGGAGGAUGCGAGCGUUAUCCGGAUUUAUUGGGUUUAAGGGUUGCGUAGGCGGAUUUUUAAGUCAGCGGUAAAAUGUCCGGGCUCAACCCGGGCCGGCCGUUGAAACUGGCGAUCUUGAGUGGGCGAGAAGUACGCGGAAUGCGUGGUGUAGCGGUGAAAUGCUUAGAUAGCACGCAGAACUCCGAGUGCGAAGGCAGCAUACCGGCGCCCGACUGACGCUGAGGCACGAAAGCGUGGGGAUCGAACAGGAUUAGAUACCCUUGUAGUC